ACAGCAGAUGGCGCUCUAGGCUAGUUUUUAACAGCAGAUGGUGCUUUGGACUAGUUUUUUAAAGCAGGUGGUGCUCGAGGCUAGUUUUUAUCAGCAGAUGGUGCUCUAAGUUAGUUUGUAAUAGCAGUUUUUAAUAGCAGACAGUGCUCUUGGCUAGUUUGAAAUAGCAUACGAUGCUCUAGGCUAGUUUUUAAUAGCGCUUUUAAUAGCAUUUUUAAUAGCGCUCUAGGCUAGUUUUUAACAUCAGAUAGUGCUCUAGGCUAGUUUUAAUAGCAGAUGGUGCUUGUAGCAGAUGUCAUGUGUGUUUAAAUCUUAAGUAAUCAUCUUCAGCAAAGACAGAAAUGGAAUAAGAAUCGCAGGAAUGUUAAAGUGAAUGACAUAGUAAUCCUUAAAGAUGAUGUUUCACCACGUAACAAGUGGAAAUUGGCAAAGGUGGUAGACGUGUACCAAGGAAAGGAUGGCAAAGUGAGACAAGUCAAGUUGUUAAUGAGUGACUCUUCGCUUGAUGGAAAGGGUAAGCGAUUGUCUAAACCAAGUUACCUUGAGCGUCCAAUACAGAAGGUAGUCAUUCUUCUUGAAGCUGAUUGAAGACUGCUUGAUUUCACACUAUCACUCCAUGGGUUGCAUUAUUUUUCAUAAUUGUGUUUAAGUGUGAUUUAUAAAACAGGAAAAAAUCACAAGUGAUUUGGUGGGAGUGUAGCAGAUGUCAUGUGUGUUUAAGAUCUUAUGCCAGUUCACCUAGGAACUAAUUAAGGCGGAGCUAAUUUCAGGGGGAACUAUAAAAAUGAUGCACCACUGUGAGUAGAGAGACCAAUGCAUUCACUUCCAAGCAUUCAACAAGCUAAGGAAUGCUUAUGCUUUUCUUGAGUUUCUCCCUUCCGUAACCAGCCAAUGAGUUCUUACGUCUGGUACACCCCUGAUGUCUUGUGGUUUGCUCUAUGUUGAGAACUGAAGACUUGCUAUGAAAAUAAACCAGUCAGUAGAAAUCA
This is a non-coding RNA of Danio rerio (zebrafish), 989 nucleotides long. The record is from RefSeq and is a predicted model, not a curated record. NCBI's taxonomy places the organism in Eukaryota, Metazoa, Chordata, Actinopteri, Cypriniformes, Danionidae.